This 450-nucleotide ribosomal RNA is filed under the name Achromobacter xylosoxidans. Its description in RNAcentral is "bacterial SSU rRNA". It matches the Rfam family "Bacterial small subunit ribosomal RNA", at positions 30 to 473 of the family's 1533-position model. The record is from RNAcentral. Lineage: Bacteria; Pseudomonadati; Pseudomonadota; Betaproteobacteria; Burkholderiales; Alcaligenaceae.
AUUGAACGCUAGCGGGAUGCCUUACACAUGCAAGUCGAACGGCAGCACGGACUUCGGUCUGGUGGCGAGUGGCGAACGGGUGAGUAAUGUAUCGGAACGUGCCUAGUAGCGGGGGAUAACUACGCGAAAGCGUAGCUAAUACCGCAUACGCCCUACGGGGGAAAGCAGGGGAUCGCAAGACCUUGCACUAUUAGAGCGGCCGAUAUCGGAUUAGCUAGUUGGUGGGGUAACGGCUCACCAAGGCGACGAUCCGUAGCUGGUUUGAGAGGACGACCAGCCACACUGGGACUGAGACACGGCCCAGACUCCUACGGGAGGCAGCAGUGGGGAAUUUUGGACAAUGGGGGAAACCCUGAUCCAGCCAUCCCGCGUGUGCGAUGAAGGCCUUCGGGUUGUAAAGCACUUUUGGCAGGAAAGAAACGUCAUGGGCUAAUACCCCGUGAAACUGAC